Long non-coding RNA from Carcharodon carcharias (great white shark), 805 nucleotides. RefSeq lists it as uncharacterized. The record is from RefSeq and is a predicted model, not a curated record. NCBI's taxonomy places the organism in Eukaryota, Metazoa, Chordata, Chondrichthyes, Lamniformes, Lamnidae. The transcript has 2 exons.
GAAGAACACAAAAUCUGGUUAUAUUCAAAGCUGGCAACGUGCCUACACUGGAAACUGCUAUAUAAUCCCCAUCAGCUAGUCAUAUGCUGAUAGUUCUGUAAAAUUCUGAGCAGCCCUAUUGGACAAAGGCAAACUCAUCAACCUCCUAGAAUGCGAUUUGUAUUGUAUGAACAUGAGAUGUCUGCACCAGCCAGUUCUGGACAAAGGCAGAGCUUUUUGUCACUCAUCUCCAAAGCUGCGCAAAGGGUUUUACAGUUACCUGCUCAAAACACAACGGGUUUUCACAAGGGGCCCUCGUUGGCUAAAUGGCUCGACCUGAAACCACGAUGCCACAUGACCGAGAUUUGAGCUGUUUGAUUUACUUUAAUUAUACAGCUUUUGGAUUCUAUCUUCAGUUACUGUUUAACCUCAGAAGAGAUAACAGGAUUCCAGGCUAUAGCAGCCUGCCUCUGACCUCCACCUCUCUCAAAGUCUGAUCUCCAGGAAGAAUCUUGCAUUUUGCCUUCAAAGUGAACUAAUUUCCAGAAUACGAGAAUACUCUGGUGCAUUUUCACCUGCCUCAACCUUCAACUGAGCUCCUCGGAAAAGACCAGGACUUCUCUCAGACAAAGCCAACUGAAAGAACCUUCCCUGGACAAUGACUUACUGGACUCAUGUGAAACAAUUUUUUUUGUGUAGUCUUUGCCCUGUGCCUUUCUUUCCCUUAUCCUUCUUUCAUUGUGUGAAUGUACCAGGGUUAUUUAGCAGUAACCCCUUCCCUGUAUUUUCAGUAUGUGUAAAAUGAACUGACCCUGAUUUUAUCCCA